Molecule: non-coding RNA, 3005 nt
Organism: Kogia breviceps (pygmy sperm whale)
Lineage: Eukaryota; Metazoa; Chordata; Mammalia; Artiodactyla; Physeteridae
Source: RefSeq, a predicted model, not a curated record
GCGAGUGAGCCGACUAGCUUUCCGUGUGGUGCGGCGGCAACGGCUGCGCGCGUCUCCCUCCUCCUCCUAUCGCGGGGCCAGCGUCCCUGAGGGAGUCCAGCUACGCUUAAGUCUGGCCGGUGCCACCUGUCUCCGCAAUGCCCCCCAAGAAACAGGCUCAGGCCGGGGGCAGCAAAAAGGCGGAGCAGAAAAAGAAGGAGAAGAUUAUCGAAGACAAAACUUUUGGUCUAAAGAAUAAGAAAGGAGCAAAGCAACAGAAGUUUAUCAAGGCUGUCACUCAUCAAGUUAAAUUUGGUCAACAAAAUCCACGUCAGGUAGCACAAAGUGAAGCUGAAAAGAAGUUGAAGAAAGAUGACAAGAAGAAAGAAUUGCAAGAGCUAAAUGAGUUGUUCAAACCUGUAGUUGCUGCUCAAAAAAUAAGUAAAGGUGCGGAUCCCAAAUCCGUGGUAUGUGCAUUCUUCAAGCAAGGACAGUGUACUAAAGGAGAUAAGUGUAAGUUCUCUCAUGACUUGACUCUGGAGAGAAAAUGUGAAAAGCGAAGUGUUUACAUUGAUGCAAGAGAUGAAGAGCUUGAAAAAGAUACUAUGGAUAAUUGGGAUGAGAAAAAACUGGAAGAAGUAGUGAACAAGAAGCACGGUGAGGCGGAAAAGAAAAAACCAAAAACUCAAAUAGUGUGCAAGCAUUUCCUUGAAGCUAUUGAAAACAACAAAUAUGGCUGGUUUUGGGUAUGCCCUGGAGGGGGUGAUAUUUGCAUGUAUCGUCAUGCACUUCCUCCUGGGUUCGUCUUGAAAAAAGAUAAAAAGAAAGAAGAGAAAGAAGAUGAAAUUUCAUUAGAAGAUCUAAUUGAAAGAGAGCGUUCUGCCCUAGGUCCAAAUGUUACCAAAAUCACUCUAGAAUCUUUUCUUGCAUGGAAGAAAAGAAAAAGACAAGAAAAGAUUGAUAAACUUGAGCAAGAUAUAGAAAGAAGGAAAGCAGACUUCAAAGCAGGGAAAGCAUUAGUGAUCAGUGGUCGUGAGGUGUUUGAAUUUCGUCCUGAACUGGUUGAUGAUGAUGAUGAGGAAGCAGAUGAUACCCGUUAUACCCAGGGAACAGGUGGUGAUGAGGUUGAUGAUUCAGUGAGCAUAAAUGACAUAGAUUUAAGCCUGUACAUCCCAAGAGAUGUAGAUGAGACAGGUAUUACUGUAGCCAGUCUUGAAAGAUUCAGCACAUAUACUUCAGAAAAAGAUGAAAACAAAUUAAGUGAAGCUUCUGGAGGUAGGGCUGAAAAUGGUGAAAGAAGUGAUUUGGAAGAGGACAACGAAGGGGAGGGACAGGAAAAUGGAGUCAUCGAUGCUGUUCCUGUUGAUGAAAAUCUUUUUACUGGGGAAGAUUUGGAUGAACUAGAAGAAGAAUUAAACACACUUGAUUUAGAAGAAUGACACCAAAGAAGUCAAUGAAAAAAUUAAGCCAGCUCAGCAUGAGUUGAAAUUGACUACAUUAAUUUUUUUCCACCUAGAAUUCUUCAACAGGAUGUUUGUUUCCCAUGCUGAUUCUGGAGGGCUUACUCUCCAAAAAAGGGAUAUUCUCCCUACAUCUUGUCUUCUGACUUUGGCUACAUCUCAUAGCAAAGAAGAAAGAAUUAGCUUUUAUUCAUUCAAUUAACAGGCAUCCUCGGUUAUCAAUAAUAUUUAAAGCCAUGAGUCUGGAUGAGAUCACCAAGAAAGUAAGUGUAGGUACAGCAAAGAAGACCAAGGACUGAGCUCAGUACACCCCAAUGUUUAGCAUUUAGAGAUAUGGGGCGAAACCAGCGAAGGAGUUUAAGGAAGAGUGGCCCACAGGGGAGAAGGGGAACAUUAAAAAUGGGCGUCCCAGGAACCAAGUGAAGUCAGUCUAUUGAAAAAGAUGAAAUGAUCAGUGUCUACAGCUGCUCAUACUUCAGAAACCCAAGUGAAUUUUCCUCUGAUAUUCACUGCAAGAACCAGGUCAAGCUCCUGGAGAUAAAACUCACAAAAUUGUGGGGCCCUGCUGAUGACUGGGUCUCCCUGGAGUUUUAAACUCUCAGUCUUGUGCACACUGAGCCUCCAGCAAUUUGUCAAUUACAGUUCAGGUUUUCAUAUCCCAGCACCGGUUCUCAUGAAGGUUUCUGCUCCAGAGGUGAUGGGAACCCAUAAAAUCUUCAACAACAGCCAUCUCCCCAGGUCCUGUGAACUACCCUUCCUCCAUCCUGAAUCAUUUAGAACAUCCUAUCUACUACAGUGCUGUGCCGUAUCCUUGCUACAGGAGUGAUUACGUGACCCAGGCAUGGCUGAUCCUAAUAUCUCACUCCUCUGAACACAGUGAUUGGUUCAGGGGUAUGUAAUAUUAUAAACAGAGCCAAUAAGAAUCAUUGCCUAGAGUCGGCAUACUGGUUUGAGAAGUAGGCAGUUUUUUUUAGCUAGUAUGGGAUUGCUAAACUAUGACACAUAGUCUGAGAUCGUGGGUAACUAUCUUCCCUCAUCAACUGGGGAGCCUGAAGCAGUAGGAGAGGAAAAGACUAAAACAAAGAAGGAAGGAGAGCUGGAAAAGGAAGAGGCAGAAAAAAGGGAGGGUGGGGUGCAGGGAAAAUACCACAUUCCCUGGGAAUUGUGUUGUGUUUGAAGCUAGAACCGACCCUGAGCUUCCUGUUAUGUGAACUAAUCCAUUUUCUUUCUGCUUUGGCUCAUGUGAGCUGGGUUAUUGUCACUUGCAAUUGAAAUGGUCCUGACAAACACUUCAUUUUUAGAAGCCCUGUAGGAUCUGCCAUGUGGCCAUGGUAUUUUACAUAUAGUGCUGAGUCAGUAAAGGUUUUAACUCAAUGAAAGCAUAGAUGAAUCUAUCUUCCGGCAUCAUUGAAAGGUGUUGUAGGUGCCAUCACAUAAUUUUGUGAAAAUAAUUAUUGUUGUCUACUUGCUUCUUUAACUCAACUUCAAGAAAAAAAAUUAUUUUCUUCUUUAAAGUUCCAUUUCCUUGGUGUAACAUUGGAUCCUCACAGUGUAACUGAAUUCUUU